This 2033-nucleotide ribosomal RNA is filed under the name Coelopella curvipes. RNAcentral's name for it is "eukaryotic LSU rRNA". It matches the Rfam family "Eukaryotic large subunit ribosomal RNA", at positions 97 to 2706 of the family's 3401-position model. The record is from RNAcentral. Lineage: Eukaryota; Metazoa; Arthropoda; Insecta; Diptera; Coelopidae.
AAAGAAAAUAGUUCAGCACUAAGUCACUUUGUCUUUAUGGCAAAUGUGAGAUGCAGUGUAUGGAAUGUCUAUUAUCUAAUAUGAGAAAUUAAUGAUUUAAGUCCUUCUUAAAUGAGGCCAUUUACCCAUAGAGGGUGCCAGGCCCGUAUAACGUUAAUGAUUAUUAGAAGAUGUUUCCAAAGAGUCGUGUUGCUUGAUAGUGCAGCACUAAAGUGGGUGGUAAACUCCAUCUAAAACUAAAUAUAACCAUGAGACCGAUAGUAAACAAGUACCGUGAGGGAAAGUUGAAAAGAACUCUGAAUAGAGAGUUAAAUAGUACGUGAAACUGCUUAGAGGUUAAGCCCGAUGAACCUGAAUAUCCAUUAUAGAAAAUUCAUCAUUAUAUUCUAUAAUAUGAAUAAUAUUAUUGAAAUAGUGUGCAUUUUUUCUAUAUAAGGACAUUGUAAUCUAUUAACAUAAUUAUAUAUUUAUCAAAAGAUCAUUUGCUUUAAGUUUAUUCAAAUUAAUUUACUUUUGUAUUUUAACAUAGAAUAAAUGCUUAUGAUUUGAUAAAGUGUUGAUAGAUUUACUUGUAUAUAGUGCUUAAAUUCUUUUGAAUUUUACAAUGGCAUAAUUAUCUUAUGAUAUUUAUGUUUAUAAUUGUAUGCGCUUAUAUGAUUAACAAUGCGAUAGAUUCAGGAUACCUUCGGGACCCGUCUUGAAACACGGACCAAGGAGUCUUAACAUAUGUGCAAGUCAUUGGGAUUAUUUAUUUAAACCCAAAGGCAUAAUUAACUUAACUGUUAUUAAAUGGGAUUAGUUUUUAGUCUAUUUUAUAGUCUAUUAAUUCAAUCCCAGGGGCGUUCUAUACAGUUAUGUAUAAUAAUAUUUAUAUUAUUUAUACCUCUAACUAGAGCGUACCUUGAGCAUUUAUGCUGUGACCCGAAAGAUGGUGAACUAUACUUGAUCAGGUUGAAGUCAGGGGAAACCCUGAUGGAAGACCGAAACAGUUCUGACGUGCAAAUCGANNNNNNNGAUAGAAUAAUGUAGGUAAGGGAAGUCGGCAAAUUAGAUCCGUAACUUCGGGAUAAGGAUUGGCUCUGAAGAUUGAGAUAGUCGGGCUUGAUUGGGAAGCAAUAACAUGGUUUAUGUGCUCGUUCUGGGUAAAUAGAGAUUUAACGAUCUUGUUCCCCGGAUAGUAGUUUACGUAGCCAAUUGUGGAACUUUCUUGCUAAAAUUUUUAAGGAAUUAUAUCAUUAGAUAUAUUCUUUUUAAAUUAUAACGAUUAUCAAUUAACAAUCAAUUCAGAACUGGCACGGACUUGGGGAAUCCGACUGUCUAAUUAAAACAAAGCAUUGUGAUGGCCCUAACGGGUGUUGACACAAUGUGAUUUCUGCCCAGUGCUCUGAAUGUCAAAGUGAAGAAAUUCAAGUAAGCGCGGGUAAACGGCGGGAGUAACUAUGACUCUCUUAAGGUAGCCAAAUGCCUCGUCAUCUAAUUAGUGACGCGCAUGAAUGGAUUAACGAGAUUCCCUCUGUCCCUAUCUACUAUCUAGCGAAACCACAGCCAAGGGAACGGGCUUGGAAUAAUUAGCGGGGAAAGAAGACCCUGUUGAGCUUGACUCUAGUCUGGCAGUGUAAGGAGACAUAAGAGGUGUAGCAUAAGUGGGAGAUAGAUAAUUUUUAAUUAUUUAUCGACAAUGAAAUACCACUACUCUUAUUGUUUCCUUACUUACUUGAUUAAGUGGAACGUGUAUCAUUGCUUAGCCAUUAUACGGAUAUAUUUAUAUGUCUUAUGGUAUUGGGUCUUGAUGCAAGCUUCUUGAUCAAAGUACCACGAGUUUGUUAUAUAAUUGUAAACAAAUAUUAAUGAAAUGAUAGCAUUUCGGUGUUAUUAUUAUAAUUAAAAUUUGGUAUAACUCCAACACUCAGGUAUGAUCCAAUUCAAGGACAUUGCCAGGUGGGGAGUUUGACUGGGGCGGUACAUCUCUCAAAUAAUAACGGAGGUGUCCCAAGGCCAGCUCAGUGCGGACAGAAACCACACAUAGAGCAAAA